AACGUAGGAGACAAACGUUAUCCGGAGUUACUGGGCGUAAAGGGCGUGUAGGUGGUUUCGUAAGUCUGGCGUGAAAUUUUUCGGCUUAACCGGGAAAGGUCGUCGGAUACUGCGGAGCUAGAGGACGGUAGAGGCGUGUGGAAUUCCGGGUGUAGUGGUGAAAUGCGUAGAGAUCCGGAGGAACACCAGUGGCGAAGGCGACACGCUGGGCCGUACCUGACACUGAGGGACGAAAGCUAGGGGAGCGAAUGGG
Molecule: ribosomal RNA, 253 nt
Filed under: uncultured bacterium
Lineage: Bacteria
Description: partial 16S ribosomal RNA
Rfam family: Bacterial small subunit ribosomal RNA
Source: RNAcentral